GGCAGGCAGGAGUGUGGAGCAGCAGAGCAUGGGGAGAGUUUCUGCCCCUGAAUCCUUUUAUUACUUUAGCUCCCUCCCCUCCUACUUCACCUGGGGCUGUCUAGUGAAGGGAAGUGGCCCCGAGCGGUGACUGACCACUCUGCAUUUGAGUUAGCCAUCGCCUUUGGCUCUCUUCUUCUCGAAGCCGCAGAUGGACAUCCCAUUUCAUGUGACAGAACUGUUCCCUUAAUGCCUUCUUGGCUCUGCUUUUGUGGAACCCCAAACUCCCAUCAGUAAAUCAGGCAAUCAGGACUUGCUCUAUGGAGAGGUGAUGUAGGUGGAUGUCCACAUAGGUUUUAUAACUUGGCAGAUGUGACAAGUCCACCUACUCCCCAGAUAUCAGUGAAAAAGAUGGAAAGAUGACCCCUACAUCUACAAGCAAAACACCUGACUCUACCACAUACCGUGUUACUAUAGGACCAUGUCAGGGGCCACUGCUCUCCUUGCUUUUCCCCACAGGUGGGAGACAAGAGCAUGGAUAUGGAGUUGAGUGGAAAGUGAAGAGUCGAAGAUGACUUCAUCGUUUUGAACCUGAGUGAUUGGAAGGAUAAAGAAGAAGUCAAGAAAAGAGAGGACACAAAAUGGUUUAGAGCCAUUACCUUUUUUUAGGCAUUCUUAUUCUGGGAUUUAUAAACUUGUUUUAUUAAAAAAUAUUUUGAAAACUA
Molecule: long non-coding RNA, 704 nt
Organism: Monodelphis domestica (gray short-tailed opossum)
Lineage: Eukaryota; Metazoa; Chordata; Mammalia; Didelphimorphia; Didelphidae
Source: RefSeq, a predicted model, not a curated record